Molecule: long non-coding RNA, 873 nt
Organism: Vitis vinifera (wine grape)
Lineage: Eukaryota; Viridiplantae; Streptophyta; Magnoliopsida; Vitales; Vitaceae
Exons: 2
Source: RefSeq, a predicted model, not a curated record
AGUAGACUCAUAUGAGAAGUUUGUUUACUUGAAGCAGAAGAGGUGGCCCAAAAUGGUAACAGAAAGAAACCCCACAGAUGGGGUGCCUAUCCUCAAAGCACAAUAGAAACAAGAGUAAAAACACAAAUGUGGCUUGAGGGAUAAGGAUACAAGGGAGGCAGAGAGAAAAAGGGGGUGGAAGAGCUUGAGGAAGUGUUAAAAGCAAUGGUGAUUGGUGGGUUGGGUCCUUGUGCUACAAGGGAAAAAGGUGUGACAGAGACAUUGCACCAAGAGGAAAUGUGAUAUGCAUGAUUGGCCUGCAAGGGAAUUGAAACCGUACCAGGAACACUGAUCUAAACUUCACCCUUGUCUAAGCAAACCUACUACUUCUCUCUCUUGCCCUCCACUCUAUUUCCUCCCCAUUCUCUUCCUAGCAUGAGCCACACCCACUUCUCCAAAUGGGGUGGCUCCAAUCCCUCUUCUCUCCAUUGAAGAAGCUCUGGUUUCGUCUGCACUCAGCUCAGAGGAAGAGUAGAGGGAUAUACAUUCUAUAUGAGGACGUCAAGUCCUGCCCAUAUGAAGAUGUGCAUGUACUAUGGUCGAUUCUGGUGGAAUCACAUUCACCUUCUCCGCCAUCAAAACAAUGAAGGUUCUCAUGCACAGAGACAUCCCAGGAAUGAGAGAUUUCCAUUCUGAUCAUGUACAUACGAUAUUUAAAUGUUCUACACACUAUGAAAUGGUUUGUCCUCCUCCUUUACUUUCUUGUGAUCCAAGCUAGGUUUCAGAAUUUGAGUUUCCUAAUCUUUAUAGAAGGUUGGAUCUGGGUUCAAGCGUCUGUGUAAACUAUGACUUUAUUUAAAGAAAAUUCGGGAUGAGUAAUUCCCCUUCUCUUUA